Molecule: ribosomal RNA, 468 nt
Filed under: uncultured bacterium
Lineage: Bacteria
Description: partial 16S ribosomal RNA
Rfam family: Bacterial small subunit ribosomal RNA
Source: RNAcentral
GACGAACGCUGGCGGCGUGCUUAACACAUGCAAGUCGAACGGAAAGGCCCUGCUUUUGUGGGGUGCUCGAGUGGCGAACGGGUGAGUAACACGUGAGUAACCUGCCCUUGACGUUGGGAUAACUUCAGGAAACUGGGGCUAAUACCGGAUAGGAGCUCCUGCUGCAUGGGGGGGGUUGGAAAGUUUCGGCGGUUGGGGAUGGACUCGCGGCUUAUCAGCUUGUUGGGGGGGUAGUGGCUUACCAAGGCUUUGACGGGUAGCCGGCCUGAGAGGGUGACCGGCCACAUUGGGACUGCGAUACGGCCCAGACUCCUACGUGAGGCAGCAGUGGGGAAUAUUGCACAAUGGGCGGAAGCCUGAUGCAGCAGCGCCGCGUGCGGGAUGACGGCCUUCGGGUUGUAAACCGCUUUCGCCUGUGACGAAGCGUGAGUGACGGUAAUGGGUAAAGAAGCACCGGCUAACUACGUG